CUGGGCCGCGACCCUCAGCCCGCGUGCCAGCCCGGUACGGCACGAUUAGGUGGCGCGAGGAGCGAGCGAGGCUGCGAGUCAGCGACCAGCGAUUUGUUUCACAGCGGGGCAGGCGGGAGACGCGCGAGAUUUGAGGCAGCGGGCGGGAGAAGCGGGAGAUGCGCGAGAUUUGAGGACGGCGGGAGACGCGGGAGGCGCGCGCAGGAGAUUUCGGCCUGUGUGCGGGCGGGAGAUGCGCGGGAGGCGAGAGCCGCGAGACGCGGGAGGCGCGCGACGACGCGGGUGGGAUUUUUUUUCUUUUAGGUUUUUCCAGGUUUUUUCGUGUCGUGCCGCGGGCCUAAACGUGCCGUGGACCGGCCCGAUUAGGCAACGUGCCGUGUUUGGGCCUGGACCCUUGGCACGCGGGCCGGCAUGGAACGACCCGUAUAUUAAUCAGGCCCAGACAGGCCGUGCCGUGCCUGGUAUGAUUACGGUGGGCCGGGCCGUGCCGGGCCGGCCCGUUUGGCCAGGUAUGAUCCCCCGGCGCCGCACCGAAGCUACCCUCCUCCCCCCGCAACCACCUCCCCAUGCGACCCUCCACAUCUGACCACCCCUCCUUCCACCACGAGGCGCCGCAACCUUCCACGGAUUGCUCCGCCCCAACCACCUUCUACCGCGCUGCCGUGCCGCUCGUGAAUCGAGCCUUGGCUCCUCCGCCAGAUUCGACGGCCCCCGGCUCCACCGCACUACUUUCGGCGUCGUCCAGACUACACAAACCCCAUUUAGCGCCACGUCCUGAUGGAUCGGCGGUUGACACCAUGCGGUUCAUGGGUGAUAGCCUGAUCCCUGCCUCGUGCACCAAAUCCAUCGACCACGGGCCACGGGCGAGGCCAUCAUCAUCGAAUCCGGUCACUGCAGGCACCGCCGCCGGUCUCCUGCCUCGCCGAGCUCCAUCCCAUCACCAUUGCCUCCUCACCACCUAGCGCGGCCUGGCAAUGGCACCCCUACACUCGUUGCGCAUGGAGCCAAGCCUCAACUACGUCAGAUCCGGCGACCCGAGGCACAAAUCCAUCGAUUCGGCCCCGGAUCCAACGACCGGCGUGCUCGCUGUGGGCGGAGGAUCACCUCCCUCCACUCGCAAUAUCCACCCCAUCGGCCUUGCACUGGCUACCUCCCCCUACCUCGUCGGGUCAAUGAACAAUCCCUCCCUCAUAGAGAUCCACCAUCGGCCUCCGGCCAUCCUCUUCUCUCCCCCAACCAACCUCCUCUGAGAUCCUUUUCAGAUUGAGAUAUUGUCCGAUGGAGGUGCCACGGGUAACCCGUUGAUGCGUUCGUAGCCCCUGAUGCUCGCCUCCACCUUGUUGUCCGCCGUGGGUGGUGGCUUCUUCGUUCUACCUCCCCUCCGGCCUCUCCCUUCUCCAACUAAGACGAUGUUGGCAGUUCAGGAUCACUCGUGUGAAGUGUGAUAGUUUGGCGCGUGUAGUAGAGCACGAUCGUAUCUGCGCUUGCUGUCGUGUGUGUUUGCAGGUCCUUGAACCUGACGGGUGUGUAGUGUGGCGAGUAUGGCGCGCAGUUCGCCGGGCAUGCUCUGCGGACGAGCGUGGCGUGUAGUGCGGGCGAGCGUGGCGUGCAUCAUCUCGCUGGGCGUGUAGUGCGGGCGAGCGUGGCGUGCAUCUCGCUGGGCGUGCAGUGUGGGCGAGCGUGGCGUGCAGCUCAUCGGGCAUCUGGGCUACGAGUACGAACCUCACUUUCAGCUCUCUUCUCCAUUCGUUGUUCAUGUGUGUUUUUGGUGCGGACAAGUGCGUUGCACCAUGGGUGGCCAAUGACAUACUUUCUUCAAGUAGUUUAUCUUGUUGUAUGUCUACUUAGUAGUUUCUCUUAUUGUAUGUUUCAAUUUGACCAUGUUAAUGUGCGCAGCUCUUUGGUGGUUUGGGUGCAGCUUGCAACAGUUGUGGACUUCAGCGAGCUAUAUCUUCCCUGGUCUGGCUUCCUCCAUCCACACUAUGGAUGCAUGCGGAAUGCGGUGAAGCAGCCCACACCAUUAGCGAUCGUGCGCGAUGGGGAGUGGGGUUGAAUCCAAUGUAGCAACCGCCUGCAGCUCGACAUCCUAGAUAGGCGCAGCACGACGCUACCUCACCCGCCCAACUCGAUCUUCUCCGAGCACCACCUCACCUCUCGUGUAGUGCAGACGGUGAGCACGUGCAGUCCAAUGGGCGCGUGAGUGCACCACGCUGAGUGUGAGUGCAAAGUUUUUGCUGUUUUUCAGAGAUGAACGGUGUUGUUUUCCAUGCACAUAUUAUAUGAUUUUAUGUGAAAAGGAGUGCAUCCAUUGUUGUGUUGCGCUCCAUUUUUCUCGACCA
This is a long non-coding RNA of Hordeum vulgare subsp. vulgare (domesticated barley), 2339 nucleotides long. RefSeq lists it as uncharacterized. The transcript is spliced from 2 exons. The record is from RefSeq and is a predicted model, not a curated record. Lineage: Eukaryota; Viridiplantae; Streptophyta; Magnoliopsida; Poales; Poaceae.